GCCAGAGGUGGCGAUCGUUGUUCGGAAUCACUGGGCUUAAAGGGCGAGUAGGCGGUAGGGCAAGUCUGAGGUGGAAUCCUAUGGCUCAACCAUAGAACUGCCUUGGAAACUGUUCUACUUGAGUCAGUGAGGGGAGGGCGGAAUUCCCGGUGUAGCGGUGAAAUGCGUAGAUAUCGGGAGGAAGGCCGGUGGCGAAGGCGGCCCUCUGGCGCUGUACUGACGCUGAGGCGCGAAAGCGUGGGGAGAAAACAGG
RNAcentral lists this ribosomal RNA (253 nucleotides) under uncultured bacterium. Its description in RNAcentral is "partial 16S ribosomal RNA". It matches the Rfam family "Bacterial small subunit ribosomal RNA", at positions 524 to 776 of the family's 1533-position model. The record is from RNAcentral.